UUCAACUUCUUCCACAUACGCCCAAGCCAGUCUUCCCGAGCAUCACGGGAGAGCUCUUUCUCCUUAUCCCCUGCUCCCAGCCGAAUCUAUCAUCCUCAUCCCGUAGCAACCCAAAUCUCCCAAUCAACUCCUCCCAGCUUCCGAUCUCUUCUUCCUUUGGAACAGAGCAUCAGCCGUUCACAACAACCACGGUUUUCCCCUCUGUUGAAACAGAUCCCAUCUCCUCCCGUAUCCCAUGAACAAAAACCAAGCCUUGCAUCCUUAUCCAGCCAACGGCAGCACUUCCAAACUCCCCAGCUCCCCUGUUCAGAGUUCAUCUCAGCCGUGAACAACAACCCAACGUUUUCCGGACCAUCAUCCACCUUCGAAUCACCUCCCCUGUUCCCAAC
This 389-nucleotide long non-coding RNA is filed under the name Phoenix dactylifera (date palm). RNAcentral's name for it is "long non-coding RNA (PDAC_LNC014833)". The record is from RNAcentral. Lineage: Eukaryota; Viridiplantae; Streptophyta; Magnoliopsida; Arecales; Arecaceae.